UACGGAGGAUGCGAGCGUUAUCCGGAUUUAUUGGGUUUAAAGGGUGCGUAGGCGGCUUUUUAAGUCAGCGGUGAAAUUUUGCAGCUUAACUGUAACAGUGCCGUUGAUACUGGGGAGCUAGGAUUUGGUUGCUGUGGGUGGAAUGUGUGGUGUAGCGGUGAAAUGCUUAGAUAUAACACAGAACACCGAUUGCGAAGGCAGCUUACUAUGCCUUUAUUGACACUGAUGCACGAAAGCGUGGGGAUCAAACAGGAUUAGAUA
RNAcentral lists this ribosomal RNA (261 nucleotides) under uncultured prokaryote. RNAcentral's name for it is "partial 16S ribosomal RNA". It matches the Rfam family "Bacterial small subunit ribosomal RNA", at positions 524 to 784 of the family's 1533-position model. The record is from RNAcentral.